GACAGAGGGGGCAAGCGUUGCUCGGAAUUACUGGGCGUAAAGGGCGCGUAGGCGGGAUGGCAAGUCGGUCGUGAAAUCCCUCGGCUCAACCGAGGAACGUCGAUCGAUACUGCUGUUCUUGAGGAUUGCAGAGGAGACUGGAAUUCCCGGUGUAGCGGUGAAAUGUGUAGAGAUCGGGAGGAACACCGGUGGCGAAGGCGGGUCUCUGGGCAAUUCCUGACGCUGAGGCGCGAAAGCGUGGGGAGCAAAC
Molecule: ribosomal RNA, 250 nt
Filed under: uncultured bacterium
Lineage: Bacteria
Description: partial 16S ribosomal RNA
Rfam family: Bacterial small subunit ribosomal RNA
Source: RNAcentral